CUCUCUGACUGAACUCCCCCAGGGCCGGAAGGCAGCAAGGGUAGGUCGGCUCUGGCGGGUGCGUGGGGGGCCCUUUGCGU
Molecule: signal recognition particle RNA, 80 nt
Filed under: Streptomyces solincola
Lineage: Bacteria; Bacillati; Actinomycetota; Actinomycetes; Kitasatosporales; Streptomycetaceae
Description: Bacterial small signal recognition particle RNA
Rfam family: Bacterial small signal recognition particle RNA
About the family: The signal recognition particle (SRP) is a universally conserved ribonucleoprotein involved in the co-translational targeting of proteins to membranes. Archaeal SRP consists of a 7S RNA and homologues of the eukaryotic SRP19 and SRP54 proteins. In most bacteria, the SRP consists of a 4.5S RNA and the Ffh protein (a homologue of the eukaryotic SRP54 protein).
Source: Rfam by way of RNAcentral